RNAcentral lists this ribosomal RNA (1536 nucleotides) under Klebsiella pneumoniae. RNAcentral describes it as "bacterial SSU rRNA". Lineage: Bacteria; Pseudomonadati; Pseudomonadota; Gammaproteobacteria; Enterobacterales; Enterobacteriaceae. The record is from RNAcentral.
UUGAAGAGUUUGAUCAUGGCUCAGAUUGAACGCUGGCGGCAGGCCUAACACAUGCAAGUCGAGCGGUAGCACAGAGAGCUUGCUCUCGGGUGACGAGCGGCGGACGGGUGAGUAAUGUCUGGGAAACUGCCUGAUGGAGGGGGAUAACUACUGGAAACGGUAGCUAAUACCGCAUAAYGUCGCAAGACCAAAGUGGGGGACCUUCGGGCCUCAUGCCAUCAGAUGUGCCCAGAUGGGAUUAGCUAGUAGGUGGGGUAAYGGCUCACCUAGGCGACGAUCCCUAGCUGGUCUGAGAGGAUGACCAGCCACACUGGAACUGAGACACGGUCCAGACUCCUACGGGAGGCAGCAGUGGGGAAUAUUGCACAAUGGGCGCAAGCCUGAUGCAGCCAUGCCGCGUGUGUGAAGAAGGCCUUCGGGUUGUAAAGCACUUUCAGCGGGGAGGAAGGCGUUAAGGUUAAUAACCUUGGCGAUUGACGUUACCCGCAGAAGAAGCACCGGCUAACUCCGUGCCAGCAGCCGCGGUAAUACGGAGGGUGCAAGCGUUAAUCGGAAUUACUGGGCGUAAAGCGCACGCAGGCGGUCUGUCAAGUCGGAUGUGAAAUCCCCGGGCUCAACCUGGGAACUGCAUUCGAAACUGGCAGGCUAGAGUCUUGUAGAGGGGGGUAGAAUUCCAGGUGUAGCGGUGAAAUGCGUAGAGAUCUGGAGGAAUACCGGUGGCGAAGGCGGCCCCCUGGACAAAGACUGACGCUCAGGUGCGAAAGCGUGGGGAGCAAACAGGAUUAGAUACCCUGGUAGUCCACGCCGUAAACGAUGUCGAUUUGGAGGUUGUGCCCUUGAGGCGUGGCUUCCGGAGCUAACGCGUUAAAUCGACCGCCUGGGGAGUACGGCCGCAAGGUUAAAACUCAAAUGAAUUGACGGGGGCCCGCACAAGCGGUGGAGCAUGUGGUUUAAUUCGAUGCAACGCGAAGAACCUUACCUGGUCUUGACAUCCACAGAACUUWSCAGAGAUGSWUUGGUGCCUUCGGGAACUGUGAGACAGGUGCUGCAUGGCUGUCGUCAGCUCGUGUUGUGAAAUGUUGGGUUAAGUCCCGCAACGAGCGCAACCCUUAUCCUUUGUUGCCAGCGGUYMGGCCGGGAACUCAAAGGAGACUGCCAGUGAUAAACUGGAGGAAGGUGGGGAUGACGUCAAGUCAUCAUGGCCCUUACGACCAGGGCUACACACGUGCUACAAUGGCAUAUACAAAGAGAAGCGACCUCGCGAGAGCAAGCGGACCUCAUAAAGUAUGUCGUAGUCCGGAUUGGAGUCUGCAACUCGACUCCAUGAAGUCGGAAUCGCUAGUAAUCGUAGAUCAGAAUGCUACGGUGAAUACGUUCCCGGGCCUUGUACACACCGCCCGUCACACCAUGGGAGUGGGUUGCAAAAGAAGUAGGUAGCUUAACCUUCGGGAGGGCGCUUACCACUUUGUGAUUCAUGACUGGGGUGAAGUCGUAACAAGGUAACCGUAGGGGAACCUGCGGUUGGAUCACCUCCUU